AAAUUGAAGAGUUUGAUCAUGGCUCAGAUUGAACGCUGGCGGCAGGCCUAACACAUGCAAGUCGAACGGUAACAGGAAGAAGCUUGCUUCUUUGCUGACGAGUGGCGGACGGGUGAGUAAUGUCUGGGAAACUGCCCGAUGGAGGGGGAUAACUACUGGAAACGGUAGCUAAUACCGCAUAACGUCGCAAGACCAAAGAGGGGGACCUUCAGGCCUCUUGCCAUCGGAUGUGCCCAGAUGGGAUUAGCUUGUUGGUGAGGUAACGGCUCACCAAGGCGACGAUCCCUAGCUGGUCUGAGAGGAUGACCAGCCACACUGGAACUGAGACACGGUCCAGACUCCUACGGGAGGCAGCAGUGGGGAAUAUUGCACAAUGGGCGCAAGCCUGAUGCAGCCAUGCCGCGUGUAUGAAGAAGGCCUUCGGGUUGUAAAGUACUUUCAGCGGGGAGGAAGGGAG
Molecule: ribosomal RNA, 457 nt
Filed under: Escherichia albertii
Lineage: Bacteria; Pseudomonadati; Pseudomonadota; Gammaproteobacteria; Enterobacterales; Enterobacteriaceae
Description: bacterial SSU rRNA
Rfam family: Bacterial small subunit ribosomal RNA
Source: RNAcentral